UAAACGCUGGCGGCGCACAUAAGACAUGCAAGUCGAACGGACAGAAGUUCAUUCUUUACGAUUGAAUGGAUGUUAGUGGCGGACUGGUGAGUAACACGUAAGCAACCUGCCUAUCAGAGGGGAAUAACAGUGAGAAAUCAUUGCUAAUACCGCAUAUGCUAACAGUAUCGCAUGAUACAGUUAGGAAAGGAGCAAUCCGCUGAUAGAUGGGCUUGCGUCUGAUUAGCUAGUUGGUGGGGUAACGGCCUACCAAGGCGACGAUCAGUAGCCGAGCUGAGAGGCUCAACGGCCACAUUGGGACUGAGAUACGGCCCAGACUCCUACGGGAGGCAGCAGUCGGGAAUAUUGCGCAAUGGAGGAAACUCUGACGCAGUGACGCCGCGUAUAGGAAGAAGGUUUUCGGAUUGUAAACUAUUGUCAUUAGGGAAGAACAAAGACAGUACCUAAGGAGGAAGCCCCGGCUAACUAUGUG
This 472-nucleotide ribosomal RNA is filed under the name uncultured bacterium. Its description in RNAcentral is "bacterial SSU rRNA". It matches the Rfam family "Bacterial small subunit ribosomal RNA", at positions 30 to 507 of the family's 1533-position model. The record is from RNAcentral.